UACGUAGGUGACGAGCGUUAUCCGGAUUUACUGGGCGUAAAGCGCUUGUAGGUGGUCUUGUAAGUUGGGCGUGAAAACACCGGGCUUAACUCGGUGACGCCGUCCAAUACUGCGAGACUGGAGGAUGUCAGAGGAAGGUGGAAUUCCUGGUGUAGUGGUGAAAUGCGUAGAUAUCAGGAGGAACACCCGUGGCGAAGGCGGCCUUCUGGGGCAUUCCUGACACUGAGAAGAGAAAGCUAGGGGAGCAAACAGG
Molecule: ribosomal RNA, 253 nt
Filed under: uncultured bacterium
Lineage: Bacteria
Description: partial 16S ribosomal RNA
Rfam family: Bacterial small subunit ribosomal RNA
Source: RNAcentral